AUUUGCUGCUUGUUCAAUUUGUCUUUCCUUGCCCUGUAGUGGAAAGAAGGCUGUGGCUACUGUGUUAUACUAUCUUCCACAAAAUGAAGUGUCCCUGCUGGUUUAUUCCCACUAUGUGUAUGAGCCAACGGAGAACAGGCUCAGGCAAAGACGGCAUCAGAUUCCUUCCGAUUCCGGCUCCUGCAUGCCAGGCUGUGUCCAUCAGCCCGGAGUUUGGCUUCAGCCACGCCAGGGUUUCCUCCAAUGGCCUGCAACUAGAGAGAACAAGAGGAUUUGGAAGAAGCCCUACAUGACAGAAAUGAAAUACAAUGUUUCUCCUCUUACUGCUGGCUUUAAAGGCUCGGCACACUAGAAAGCUAUGAUAAGUCAGUAAUGUCCAUGGAAGGAAAAUAAUUGAUAUGGUUCCUCUCAUAAUAAUAGUUUUAGAUCUGU
Rhea pennata is the source of this 432-nucleotide long non-coding RNA. RefSeq lists it as uncharacterized. NCBI's taxonomy places the organism in Eukaryota, Metazoa, Chordata, Aves, Rheiformes, Rheidae. The transcript is spliced from 2 exons. The record is from RefSeq and is a predicted model, not a curated record.